This 495-nucleotide ribosomal RNA is filed under the name uncultured bacterium. Its description in RNAcentral is "partial 16S ribosomal RNA". It matches the Rfam family "Bacterial small subunit ribosomal RNA", at positions 30 to 507 of the family's 1533-position model. The record is from RNAcentral.
UGACCGCUGGCGGCGUGCCUAAUACAUGCAAGUCGAGCGAACAGAUGAGGAGCUUGCUCCUCUGACGUUAGCGGCGGACGGGUGAGUAACACGUGGAUAACCUACCUAUAAGACUGGGAUAACUUCGGGAAACCGGAGCUAAUACCGGAUAAUAUAUUGAACCGCAUGGUUCAAUAGUGAAAGACGGUUUUGCUGUCACUUAUAGAUGGAUCCGCGCCGCAUUAGCUAGUUGGUAAGGUAACGGCUUACCAAGGCAACGAUGCGUAGCCGACCUGAGAGGGUGAUCGGCUACACUGGAACUGAGACACGGUCCAGACUCCUACGGGAGGCAGCAGUAGGGAAUCUUCCGCAAUGGGCGAAAGCCUGACGGAGCAACGCCGCGUGAGUGAUGAAGGUCUUCGGAUCGUAAAACUCUGUUAUUAGGGAAGAACAAAUGUGUAAGUAACUAUGCACGUCUUGACGGUACCUAAUCAGAAAGCCACGGCUAACUACGUG